RNAcentral lists this ribosomal RNA (492 nucleotides) under uncultured bacterium. Its description in RNAcentral is "partial 16S ribosomal RNA". It matches the Rfam family "Bacterial small subunit ribosomal RNA", at positions 29 to 507 of the family's 1533-position model. The record is from RNAcentral.
AGUGAACGCUGGCGGUAGGCCUAACACAUGCAAGUCGAACGGCAGCACAGUAAGAGCUUGCUCUUACGGGUGGCGAGUGGCGGACGGGUGAGGAAUACAUCGGAAUCUACUUUUUCGUGGGGGAUAACGUAGGGAAACUUACGCUAAUACCGCAUACGGCCUACAGGUGAAAGCAGGGGAUCUUCGGACCUUGCGCGAUUGAAUGAGCCGAUGUCGGAUUAGCUAGUUGGCGGGGUAAAGGCCCACCAAGGCGACGAUCCGUAGCUGGUCUGAGAGGAUGAUCAGCCACACUGGAACUGAGACACGGUCCAGACUCCUACGGGAGGCAGCAGUGGGGAAUAUUGGACAAUGGGCGCAAGCCUGAUCCAGCCAUACCGCGUGGGUGAAGAAGGCCUUCGGGUUGUAAAGCCCUUUUGUUGGGAAAGAAAAGCAGCAGGUUAAUACCCCGCUGUUCUGACGGUACCCAAAGAAUAAGCACCGGCUAACUUCGUG